RNAcentral lists this small RNA (124 nucleotides) under Marmota monax (woodchuck). The record is from RNAcentral. Lineage: Eukaryota; Metazoa; Chordata; Mammalia; Rodentia; Sciuridae.
GCUGGGCACGGUGGCGCAUGCCUGUCAUCCCAGCCACUCGGAAGGCAGAGACAGGAGGAUCGCAAGUUCAAAGCCAGCCUCAGAACACCGAGGCCUUAAGCAGCUCAGGGAGACCCUGUCUCUA